UGCGCUGCUAUCUGCAGUCGAGCGGACAGAAGGGAGCUUGCUCCCGGAUGUUAGCGGCGGACGGGUGAGUAACACGUGGGUAACCUGCCUGUAAGACUGGGAUAACUCCGGGAAACCGGAGCUAAUACCGGAUAGUUCCUUGAACCGCAUGGUUCAAGGAUGAAAGACGGUUUCGGCUGUCACUUACAGAUGGACCCGCGGCGCAUUAGCUAGUUGGUGAGGUAACGGCUCACCAAGGCGACGAUGCGUAGCCGACCUGAGAGGGUGAUCGGCCACACUGGGACUGAGACACGGCCCAGACUCCUACGGGAGGCAGCAGUAGGGAAUCUUCCGCAAUGGACGAAAGUCUGACGGAGCAACGCCGCGUGAGUGAUGAAGGUUUUCGGAUCGUAAAGCUCUGUUGUUAGGGAAGAACAAGUGCAAGAGUAACUGCUUGCACCUUGACGGUACCUAACCAGAAAGCCACGGCUAACUACGUGCCAGCAGCCGCGGUAAUACGUAGGUGGCAAGCGUUGUCCGGAAUUAUUGGGCGUAAAGGGCUCGCAGGCGGUUUCUUAAGUCUGAUGUGAAAGCCCACGGCUCAACCGGGGAGGGUCAUUGGAAACUGGGAAACUUGAGUGCAGAAGAGGAGAGUGGAAUUCCACGUGUAGCGGUGAAAUGCGUAGAGAUGUGGAGGAACACCAGUGGCGAAGGCGACUCUCUGGUCUGUAACUGACGCUGAGGAGCGAAAGCGUGGGGAGCGAACAGGAUUAGAUACCCUGGUAGUCCACGCCGUAAACGAUGAGUGCUAAGUGUUAGGGGGUUUCCGCCCCUUAGUGCUGCAGCUAACGCAUUAAGCACUCCGCCUGGGG
This 851-nucleotide ribosomal RNA is filed under the name uncultured bacterium. RNAcentral's name for it is "bacterial SSU rRNA". It matches the Rfam family "Bacterial small subunit ribosomal RNA", at positions 45 to 878 of the family's 1533-position model. The record is from RNAcentral.